RNAcentral lists this ribosomal RNA (516 nucleotides) under uncultured bacterium. RNAcentral's name for it is "partial 16S ribosomal RNA". It matches the Rfam family "Bacterial small subunit ribosomal RNA", at positions 28 to 523 of the family's 1533-position model. The record is from RNAcentral.
GACGAACGCUGGCGGCAUGCCUAAUACAUGCAAGUCGAGCGGAGUUGAUGGAAAGCUUGCUUUCCUGAUGCUUAGCGGCGGACGGGUGAGUAACACGUAGGCAACCUGCCCUCAAGCUUGGGACAACUACCGGAAACGGUAGCUAAUUCCGAAUACUUGUUUUCUUCGCCUGAAGAGAACUGGAAAGACGGAGCAAUCUGUCACUUGGGGAUGGGCCUGCGGCGCAUUAGCUAGUUGGUGAGGUAACGGCUCACCAAGGCGACGAUGCGUAGCCGACCUGAGAGGGUGAUCGGCCACACGGGGACUGAGACACGGCCCAGACUCCAACGGGAGGCAGCAGUAGGGAAUCUUCCGCAAUGGGCGAAAGCCUGACGGAGCAAUGCCGCGUGAGUGAUGAAGGUUUUCGGAUCGUAAAGCUCUGUUGCCAGGGAAGAACGCUUGGGAGAGUAACUGCUCUCAAGGUGACGGUACCUGAGAAGAAAGCCCCGGCUAACUACGUGCCAGCCGCCGCGGUAA